RNAcentral lists this ribosomal RNA (440 nucleotides) under uncultured bacterium. RNAcentral describes it as "partial 16S ribosomal RNA". It matches the Rfam family "Bacterial small subunit ribosomal RNA", at positions 338 to 795 of the family's 1533-position model. The record is from RNAcentral.
CCUACGGGUGGCUGCAGUGGGGAAUAUUGGGCAAUGGGCGCAAGCCUGACCCAGCAACGCCGCGUGAGUGAUGACGGCCUUCGGGUUGUAAAGCCCUGUCUUCAGGGACGAUAAUGACGGUACCUGAGGAGGAAGCCACGGCUAACUACGUGCCAGCAGCCGCGGUACUACGUAGGUGGCGACCGUUGUCCGGAUUUACUGGGCGUAAAGGGAGGGGAGGCGGACUUUUAAGUGAGAUGUGAAAUACUCGGGCUCAACUUGAGUGCUGCAUUUCAAACUGUAAGUCUAGAGUGCAGGAGAGGAGAAUGGAAUUCCUAGUGUAGCGGUGAAAUGCGUAGAGAUUAGGAAGAACACCAGUGGCGAAGGCGAUUCUCUGGACUGUAACUGACGCUGAGGCUCGAAAGCGUGGGGAGCAAACAGGAUUAGAUACCCGGGUAGUC